GGGGCCGUCUGCUAGCCUGGUAGGCUUCCAGCAUGGGGUGCUGGAGACCCGAGUUCGAAUCUCGGCGGCCCCA
RNAcentral lists this transfer RNA (73 nucleotides) under Microcaldota archaeon. RNAcentral describes it as "tRNA-Pro". It matches the Rfam family "tRNA". From Rfam's summary of the family: Transfer RNA (tRNA) molecules are approximately 80 nucleotides in length. Their secondary structure includes four short double-helical elements and three loops (D, anti-codon, and T loops). Further hydrogen bonds mediate the characteristic L-shaped molecular structure. tRNAs have two regions of fundamental functional importance: the anti-codon, which is responsible for specific mRNA codon recognition, and the 3' end, to which the tRNAs corresponding amino acid is attached (by aminoacyl-tRNA synthetases). tRNAs cope with the degeneracy of the genetic code in two manners: having more than one tRNA (with a specific anti-codon) for a particular amino acid; and 'wobble' base-pairing, i.e. permitting non-standard base-pairing at the 3rd anti-codon position. The record is from RNAcentral. Lineage: Archaea; Nanobdellati; Microcaldota.